CUUUAAUAUUCUCCACAAUUAAAGUACAAGAGAAAUGUCUUUCGGGACUAUGGACAUAAACGCGCUCGUAAUACGCGGAUCGGACCCGGGGGCGGUACCCGGCGACUCCACCAAACACCGUUCAUUUGACGGAUUCGGGGUCGAAAUAGGAUCGACGAACGUCUAAAGGGGUUAGCUUUGUUUCGGCGAGAUACCACCGUAUCGGUUCAAAACGUACAAUUGCAAAUGACAAUCGUGCACCGGUAGCAAUGGCUGCGUAAGCAGUCGGCGAGACCGAACAUUAAGUCCAGUCCCUUUGCAGGGCCUGGCGGGGUUCGCAGGCACCUGGCAACAGAAGCCUG
This 341-nucleotide transfer-messenger RNA is filed under the name marine eukaryotic metagenome. RNAcentral's name for it is "Alphaproteobacteria transfer-messenger RNA". It matches the Rfam family "Alphaproteobacteria transfer-messenger RNA". Rfam says of the family: Bacterial tmRNA, also known as 10Sa RNA or SsrA, is named for its dual tRNA and mRNA-like properties. Its role is to liberate the mRNA from a stalled ribosome. To accomplish this part of the tmRNA is used as a reading frame that ends in a translation stop signal. The record is from RNAcentral.